GAUGAACGCUGGCGGCGCGCCUAAUACAUGCAAGUCGAGCGAACGGACGAGAAGCUUGCUUCUCUGAUGUUAGCGGCGGACGGGUGAGUAACACGUGGAUAACCUACCUAUAAGACUGGGAUAACUUCGUGAAACCGUAGCUAAUACCGGAUAAUAUUUUGAACCGCAUGGUUCAAAAGUGAAAGACGGUCUUGCUUUCACUUAUAGAUGGAUCCGCGCUGCAUUAGCUAGUUGGUAAGGUAACGGCUUACCAAGGCAACGAUGCAUAGCCGACCUGAGAGGGUGAUCGGCCACACUGGAACUGAGACACGGUCCAGACUCCUACGGGAGGCAGCAGUAGGGAAUCUUCCGCAAUGGGCGAAAGCCUGACGGAGCAACGCCGCGUGAGUGAUGAAGGUCUUCGGAUCGUAAAACUCUGUUAUUAGGGAAGAACAUAUGUGUAAGUAACUGUGCACAUCUUGACGGUACCUAAUCAGAAAGCCACGGCUAACUACGUG
RNAcentral lists this ribosomal RNA (497 nucleotides) under uncultured bacterium. RNAcentral describes it as "partial 16S ribosomal RNA". It matches the Rfam family "Bacterial small subunit ribosomal RNA", at positions 28 to 507 of the family's 1533-position model. The record is from RNAcentral.